CAGAGAACUCGCCCCCCGGGGUAGUCUCCCACCCUAUGUUUACACACGCUGUUGCUUUGGCAGGCCUGCUCUCGGGCUACCGGCCCCGGCUGGUCCGCGCCUGCCAGAGGGUCCUAAACUCGUAUUUUGUGUCGUCUGAGCGUAACGCAAUAGUUA
RNAcentral lists this unclassified non-coding RNA (156 nucleotides) under uncultured Helotiaceae. RNAcentral describes it as "sequence contains ITS1". Lineage: Eukaryota; Fungi; Ascomycota; Leotiomycetes; Helotiales; Helotiaceae. The record is from RNAcentral.